CUACAUUACCUUGUGGGGUUUGAUCAGCAGUUCUGGAAGCACCUAGGGCAGGAAUCACCACCCCAGGGUCACAGAUGAGACUGCUGAGGUUCACAGGGGAACCGAGCAGAGCAGCAGGUACCCUGGCUCCCAACUCAGGGCUCUCUGGUUCCGGAAAAGAAUUCUAGGUGAAGGCGGGAGGGGGUGGGAAGGUCCUUCCCCCUAGGUGCCCCUGAGGUCUAACUCUGGAACUCCUUGGAUAAUGAGAAAAGGGGGGCUUCGGAACCCUGGAUGUGGGUUCCACAUCCUGCGGGGGCAGGGAGGCCGCCUGGGAGUCCGCCAGACGCAGUAAAUAAUUCACACAGAUGAACUGGAGAUAAGGGCGGCUUCGUGGAGGAUCGAGUUCAGGUCGGAGGAGGCUCAGACGGCUGGGGGGACUUGUGGUCUCCCCUGUCUGAGAGGGGAAAAUUCGUGGGACUCUGGCUGCCAGGAAAACACAGUCCCCAGGUGCCGGCUCGGUGCCACUCCCUGCCAUUGGCGGGAGGGAGCUCCCCGGAACUGCCCCGCGGGGCAACAUGCCUGGCCAGCCGCCUCCGCCCAGCCGUCCCCAUGGCAACCGGCUGGCCUGGUCCAGGGUUCACGGCCAACCGGAUCCUCGGUCUCCCCUCCCCCACGGGAGGCUGAGCGUCUUAGACUCCCAACUCUGUUCUCUGGGAGCUUCCAGCUGCAGGAGUCUACAGAAUCAUUCUGUCUGACCCCCUCGUUUUAUGGGAGGCAGACUUUAUAAACCAGAGCAGCUGCCUGAAGGUUUCCAAGAAAAAAUUCUGCACAGUUUCUAACCAGGGUGACAGUUCCCCUCCACAGGAAGUUCUUUUAUUAAUUUUUUUAUCUCUUCUUUUGUAAGACUAUCGGUCAUCAGGGAGCACCUGUGGGCAUUUUUUUGUUUCCCCCCACUGCUCCCAUUUGCCUGGAAUUCAUUAUUAAAUCUAAACCACAGUGGCCUUGCCCAACACAGGGGCGAAGUUCGAACUACUGAAAAAUGGGUCACUCAAAUCGCCUGUGCAGAAGAAUCCCAAAUAAUUUAUGGAGAUACUCCUUCCUCAAGGAGGUGAAACAUAAAUCCCUGUCCCUGAAGUGUGGGCUGUGCAUAAUGAUUUCCUUCUAUGGAGUAUAGUAUGGAAAGCAGGGAGAAAGAGUAAUUUUGCAGGAGAGAAACCUGACAAACACUAGCUCAGCCAGAUGGCCAAGGUCAACAUCAGCAGUGGUCAGUCGUGUCUAUAGCAUGGACACUUGAUAUGAUGUGAAGAGAACAGCACAUCACCCCCAAACCCAUAACCACAGUUGAACCACAAGAAAAACAGCAGACAGACCCCACUUGAGGGACAGUCUACAAAGUACCUGACCAACAGUCUAUCAAAAACAAGGAAAGUCUGAGAAACUACCACAGCCAAGAGCAGCCUAGGGAAAUAUGAUGGCUACAUGCAAUGUGGGAGACCCUGUGGAACAGAAAAAGGAUGGUGGGUAAAAACUAAUAAAAUCCAAAUAAACUACAGAGUUUAGUUAGCGGUAACAUACCAGUGUUGUGGAAAAUGUACCGCAGUAAUGUCAGGUGUUAACAAUAGGAGAAACUGGGUCGGGGUAUGUGGCAAUUCUGUAAUAUCUGCAUAACUUUCCGUAAAUCUAAAACUAUUCUAAAAGUUUACUUUUUAAACAGCGAGCCAUCUGUCUGGGCUUCAGGUAAUCCUCAAAACCUAGCUAUCUUUGAUUCCCCAUUUUUGCCAUUUAUGAAGGAUUUGAGCUUCUGAUGUGGGGAGUAUCCAAGCCCCUAGAUCCCAAC
Macaca fascicularis (crab-eating macaque) is the source of this 1816-nucleotide long non-coding RNA. The record is from Ensembl. Lineage: Eukaryota; Metazoa; Chordata; Mammalia; Primates; Cercopithecidae.